This 420-nucleotide ribosomal RNA is filed under the name Triticum aestivum (bread wheat). Its description in RNAcentral is "partial small subunit ribosomal RNA". The record is from RNAcentral. Lineage: Eukaryota; Viridiplantae; Streptophyta; Magnoliopsida; Poales; Poaceae.
UUUGACGAUAUUUUAGUCUACAGUGCCUCUCUUGAAGAUCACACCAUCCACUUGCAAUCAGUGCUUGAGUUGUUAAGAAGGGAUCAAUGGCAAGUCAAACGCUCAAAGUGCACUUUCGCUCAAAGCCAGUUAUCCUAUUUGUGCCAUACUAUCAGCCAGCAUGGGGUUGCCACUGAAACCCACAAAAUUAAGAACAUUGCCAACUGGUCUUCUCCGCAAUCAGUCAAAGAAGUCCGCAGCUUCUUAGGUUUGGCCGGCUAUUACAGGCGCUUCGUUUGCCAUUUCGGCAUCAUUGCAAAGCCAAUGGCACAUCUCCAGAAGAAACAUGGGGAGAUCCUGAGGGUCUCGCACGUUGAGCCGUCUCGACGAGGUCGGUGCAGAUGUCCGGCUCAGGGCCCGGCUCGCCGAUCUUGCCGAUGA